UGAUGGAGGGGGAUAACUACUGGAAACGGUAGCUAAUACCGCAUAAUGUCGCAAGACCAAAGAGGGGGACCUUCGGGCCUCUUGCCAUCGGAUGUGCCCAGAUGGGAUUAGCUUGUUGGUGGGGUAACGGCUCACCAAGGCGACGAUCCCUAGCUGGUCUGAGAGGAUGACCAGCCACACUGGAACUGAGACACGGUCCAGACUCCUACGGGAGGCAGCAGUGGGGAAUAUUGCACAAUGGGCGCAAGCCUGAUGCAGCCAUGCCGCGUGUAUGAAGAAGGCCUUCGGGUUGUAAAGUACUUUCAGCGGGGAGGAAGGGAGUAAAGUUAAUACCUUUGCUCAUUGACGUUACCCGCAGAAGAAGCACCGGCUAACUCCGUGCCAGCAGCCGCGGUAAUACGGAGGGUGCAAGCGUUAAUCGGAAUUACUGGGCGUAAAGCGCACGCAGGCGGUUUGUUAAGUCAGAUGUGAAAUCCCCGGGCUCAACCUGGGAACUGCAUCUGAUACUGGCAAGCUUGAGUCUCGUAGAGGGGGGUAGAAUUCCAGGUGUAGCGGUGAAAUGCGUAGAGAUCUGGAGGAAUAC
RNAcentral lists this ribosomal RNA (583 nucleotides) under uncultured Pseudomonadota bacterium. RNAcentral's name for it is "bacterial SSU rRNA". It matches the Rfam family "Bacterial small subunit ribosomal RNA", at positions 131 to 709 of the family's 1533-position model. The record is from RNAcentral. Lineage: Bacteria; Pseudomonadati; Pseudomonadota.